This 459-nucleotide ribosomal RNA is filed under the name uncultured bacterium. RNAcentral describes it as "partial 16S ribosomal RNA". It matches the Rfam family "Bacterial small subunit ribosomal RNA", at positions 338 to 795 of the family's 1533-position model. The record is from RNAcentral.
CCUACGGGAGGCAGCAGUGAGGAAUAUUGGUCAAUGGGCGCGAGCCUGAACCAGCCAAGUCGCGUGAGGGAAGACGGUCCUAUGGAUUGUAAACCUCUUUUGUCGGGGAGCAAAAGACGCCACGCGUGGCGUUCCGAGAGUACCCGAAGAAAAAGCAUCGGCUAACUCCGUGCCAGCAGCCGCGGUAAUACGGAGGAUGCGAGCGUUAUCCGGAUUUAUUGGGUUUAAAGGGUGCGCAGGCGGAAGAUUAAGUCAGCGGUAAAAUUGAGAGGCUCAACCUCUUCGAGCCGUUGAAACUGGUUUGCUUGAGUGAGUGAGAAGUAUGCGGAAUGCGUGGUGUAGCGGUGAAAUGCAUAGAUAUCACGCAGAACUCCGAGUGCGAAGGCAGCAUACCGGCGCUCAACUGACGCUCAGGCACGAAAGUGUGGGGAUCGAACAGGAUUAGAUACCCUUGUAGUC